AUACAGACUACCAUUCUUCUACAUUUAGGAAGUCUGAAUAAUACUGAAAACUAUGGUGUAGAAUUUCCAACAGGACUCCUUAUUUUAUAUAAGACAAGGAGUGGUUUAUUUUCCCAUGGUUGUUACAUCAUCUUGUCUUUGAAUAUGCUCGAACUACAGGGACUUUUACGGAAUUCAUUGACAUGAUAGUCAAGCAAGAUGUCAACAUCACGUCCAACCCUCUUCCAGCAAAGCCAAAGCUGACCAAGGAUCUUCACCCUUUCAAAACAGGCUGUAUACAGGACGAGUUAUUCUAGUAGGAACAGGGCUAUAUAUAUGCAAGCAAUGCUCAAUUAAGAUGAAUUUUUGUAAAAGUGACAAUAGCCAGGUCAAACUAAAUACAUGUAUAGAAGAAGAUAUUGAUCUAGACUUGCAGCUAACCUUUCUGUCAGUGUCAACAACAACUGAACUUUCACAGCACUGAGUCAACAUCAGAUUGGGAGACUGAUAAUGCUUCUAACAGAAACAAUUUAAACCAACCAAACAAGCAACAGAAACUUUCCAACUUUAAAACAUCAGUUAAAUCUUCCAUGGGAUGAUGUCUCAAAAAAUAACAGUUCAUCAUUUAUGGAGAUUUUAAUGUUAUGGUUUUUCUUUUACAAGAAAGUUAAUGUACACUUGUUUUAUAGUAAAACCUAUAGCCGUUCAAGUAUAAAAAAACUCAUUCAACUUUAUUGAAAUUUGAAGAUUCAUAUGACUUAUUUUAAUUCUGUUAUCUCCGAGGAUGUGAUGUAGAGCAUUAUAGGUACAGUAAUCUUAACAGCUAUCCAAUUUCAUUCAAAAUUCUUUAUAAAUUUUGCACUGGUAUAUAUAGACUAAGUAAUUUGUUUUUCGUCUAGUUAUGGUAUUUUUUUAUACCCCACGCAACGAGUUGCGGAGGGUAUAAUGUUUUUGACCCGUCCGUCAGUCCGUCAGUCCUGUUUCUUGUCAUCGCAACUCCUCUCAAACCACACAA
Molecule: long non-coding RNA, 994 nt
Organism: Mytilus californianus (California mussel)
Lineage: Eukaryota; Metazoa; Mollusca; Bivalvia; Mytilida; Mytilidae
Exons: 3
Source: RefSeq, a predicted model, not a curated record